UACGGAAGGUGCAAGCAUUAAUCGGAUUUAUUGGGCAUAAAGGGCGCGUAGGCGGGCUAGCAAGUCAGAUGUGAAAUCCCGGGGCUCAACCCCGGAACAGCAUUUGAAACUACAAGUCUAGAGGAUAGGCGGAGAAAACGGAAUUCCACAAGUAGCGGUGAAAUGCGUAGAUAUGUGGAAGAACAUCGGUGGCGAAGGCGGUUUUCUAGCUUAGACCUGACGCUGAGGCGCGAAAGCAAGGGGAUCAAACAGG
This 253-nucleotide ribosomal RNA is filed under the name uncultured bacterium. RNAcentral's name for it is "partial 16S ribosomal RNA". It matches the Rfam family "Bacterial small subunit ribosomal RNA", at positions 524 to 776 of the family's 1533-position model. The record is from RNAcentral.